GAUGAACGCUGGCGGCGUGCCUAAUACAUGCAAGUCGAGCGAACAGACGAGGAGCUUGCUCCUCUGACGUUAGCGGCGGACGGGUGAGUAACACGUGGAUAACCUACCUAUAAGACUGGGAUAACUUCGGGAAACCGGAGCUAAUACCGGAUAAUAUAUUGAACCGCAUGGUUCAAUAGUGAAAGACGGUUUUGCUGUCACUUAUAGAUGGAUCCGCGCCGCAUUAGCUAGUUGGUAAGGUAACGGCUUACCAAGGCAACGAUGCGUAGCCGACCUGAGAGGGGGAUCGGCCACACUGGAACUGGGACACGGUCCAGACUCCUACGGGAGGCAGCAGUAGGGAAUCUUCCGCAAUGGGCGAAAGCCUGACGGAGCAACGCCGCGUGAGUGAUGAAGGUCUUCGGAUCGUAAAACUCUGUUAUGAGGGAAGAACAAAUGUGUAAGUAACUAUGCACGUCUUGACGGUACCUAAUCAGAAAGCCACGGCUAACUACGUG
Molecule: ribosomal RNA, 497 nt
Filed under: uncultured bacterium
Lineage: Bacteria
Description: partial 16S ribosomal RNA
Rfam family: Bacterial small subunit ribosomal RNA
Source: RNAcentral